Molecule: ribosomal RNA, 253 nt
Filed under: uncultured bacterium
Lineage: Bacteria
Description: partial 16S ribosomal RNA
Rfam family: Bacterial small subunit ribosomal RNA
Source: RNAcentral
UACAGAGGUCUCAAGCGUUGUUCGGAUUCAUUGGGCGUAAAGGGUGCGUAGGUGGCGCUGUAAGUCGGGUGUGAAAUUUCGGAGCUUAACUCCGAAACUGCAUUCGAUACUGGCGUGCUUGAGGACUGGAGAGGAGACUGGAAUUUACGGUGUAGCGGUGAAAUGCGUAGAUAUCGUAAGGAAGACCAGUGGCGAAGGCGGGUCUCUGGACAGUUCCUGACGCUGAGGCACGAAGGCCAGGGGAGCAAACGGG